Gambusia affinis (western mosquitofish) is the source of this 219-nucleotide small nucleolar RNA. Its record names the gene SNORA73. It matches the Rfam family "Small nucleolar RNA SNORA73 family". From Rfam's summary of the family: U17 (SNORA73A and SNORA73B) also known as E1 belongs to the H/ACA class of small nucleolar RNAs (snoRNAs). Vertebrate U17 is intron-encoded and ranges in length from 200-230 nucleotides, longer than most snoRNAs. It is one of the most abundant snoRNAs in human cells and is essential for the cleavage of pre-rRNA within the 5' external transcribed spacer (ETS). The record is from Ensembl. Lineage: Eukaryota; Metazoa; Chordata; Actinopteri; Cyprinodontiformes; Poeciliidae.
CCGACAUGGACAUCUGGGGGCGUGGCCUCCAGCUCUGUCCUGGUGGCCAAUGGGAGCGCAGCUCUGAGCCGUGACGUCCAAUCCCGUUCCACAAUGUCAGACAGUAAGCUCCGCCCCUGGCUGCCGGUCGGCCGGCGCGGUGAGCGUCCUGCAUAUUCCUACGCCUUCCCAGAGUCCUUUGGGCCGUUACUGGGGAGACAAACCAUGCAGGACACAGAA